AAGUGACAUUUUGUUCUGUUUGAUGUAGAUUCAGUAAGGCUUUUUGCACACCAGCUUUGAAGAAAGUCUUCUUAAACAGAAGGCCAAGAAGAAAAGCAGAUAAACAGACAGGAACACAUGUUCCUGGUCCAUUGCACAAUAUCUAAAAGAGAUGAAACACAUUACAAAAAUUGCUAAGAAGCUGAACACAUCCUCUUUGCAUCCUAGAAUUUUGAAAUCAGAGUAGUAUACUGUGAUUUCAAGCCUCCUUCUGAACCUGAUUGCAAGCACACCCACGCUGGGACCUUAAACCCUACUCUACAAUCUACUGAGAGUGAAGAUCUGUUUUUAUAUAUUUGGUGAGUAAGGACAUAAACCAAGCACACAUGCUGCCUUUUUGCAUUUCAAAGAAACUUUUCCAUAUCUAUAUAAUGCGUUUCCUGGAAAGUUGGAUUAAUUUGCAUGAAUG
This is a long non-coding RNA of Hirundo rustica (Barn swallow), 448 nucleotides long. RefSeq lists it as uncharacterized. The transcript is spliced from 3 exons. NCBI's taxonomy places the organism in Eukaryota, Metazoa, Chordata, Aves, Passeriformes, Hirundinidae. The record is from RefSeq and is a predicted model, not a curated record.